Molecule: ribosomal RNA, 449 nt
Filed under: uncultured bacterium
Lineage: Bacteria
Description: bacterial SSU rRNA
Rfam family: Bacterial small subunit ribosomal RNA
Source: RNAcentral
UGGGGAAUCUUGGACAAUGGGGGCAACCCUGAUCCAGCGAUGCCGCGUGUGUGAAGAAGGCCUUCGGGUUGUAAAGCACUUUAGUUGGGGAGGAAGUUGCGGAGUUUAAGAGAUACUGCAAUUGACUGUACCCAAAGAAUAAGCACCGGCUAACUCUGUGCCAGCAGCCGCGGUAAUACAGAGGGUGCAAGCGUUAAUCGGAAUUACUGGGCGUAAAGGGCGCGUAGGCGGUCAUGUAAGUUGGAUGUGAAAUCCCUGGGCUUAACCCAGGAACUGCAUCCAAAACUGUGUGGCUAGAGUGCGGUAGAGGGUAGUGGAAUUUCCGGUGUAGCGGUGAAAUGCGUAGAUAUCGGAAGGAACACCAGUGGCGAAGGCGGCUACCUGGACUGACACUGACGCUGAGGCGCGAGAGCGUGGGGAGCAAACAGGAUUAGAUACCCCGGUAGUCC